This 497-nucleotide ribosomal RNA is filed under the name uncultured bacterium. RNAcentral describes it as "partial 16S ribosomal RNA". It matches the Rfam family "Bacterial small subunit ribosomal RNA", at positions 28 to 507 of the family's 1533-position model. The record is from RNAcentral.
GAUGAACGCUGGCGGCGUGCCUAAUACAUGCAAGUCGAGCGAACGGACGAGAAGCUUGCUUCUCUGAUGUUAGCGGCGGACGGGUGAGUAACACGUGGAUAACCUACCUAUAAGACUGGGAUAACUUCGGGAAACCGGAGCUAAUACCGGAUAAUAUUUUGCACCGCAUGGUUCAAAAGUGAAAGACGGUCUUGCUGUCACUUAUAGAUGGAUCCGCGCUGCAUUAGCUAGUUGGUAAGGUAACGGCUUACCAAGGCAACGAUGCAUAGCCGACCUGUGAGAGUGAUCGGCCACACGAGAACUGAAACACGGUCCAGACGCCUACGGGAGGCAGCAGUAGGGAAUCUGCCGCAAUGGGCGAAAACCUGACGGAGCAACGCCGCGUGAGUGAUGAAGGUCUUCGGAUCGUAAAACUCUGUUAUUAGUGAAGAACAUAUGUGGAAGUAACUGUGCACAUCUUGACGGUACCUAAUCAGAAAGCCACGGCUAACUACGUG